CCCACCUCCAUGGUAACCCUGACCCCACUUUGGGGACCUGCCCCACAUCGAUGGUAACCCCAACCCCAUUUUGGGGUGCAGGCUCAUCUCCCUAGUAACCCACAACCCCAUUUUGGGGCACAGCCCCACCUCUACACCAACCCUGACCCCAUUUUGGGGUACAGCCCCAUCUCCCUAGUAACCCUGACCCCAUUUUGGGGUGAUGUCCUGUCUCCAUAGUAACCCACGACCCCAUUUUGGGGUACAGCCCAACCUCUACACCGACACCAACCCCAUUUUGGGGUGCUGCCCCACCUCUAUACCAACCCUGUCCCCAUUUUGGGGUGCAGAGCCAGCUCCCUAGUAACCCACGACCCCAUUUGGGGUACAGCCCCACCUCUACACUAACCCCAACCCCAUUUUGGGGUGCUGCCUUAUCUCUAUAGCACCCCCGACCCCAUUUUGGGGUGCUGCCCCACCUGCCCCCCCCCCCCCACCCCCCCCCCCCCCCCCUGGGGGGGGGGGGGGGGCCUCCCUCACUCCCCCGUUAUCCCCAAUCCCCCCAAUUUUUUGGGGGGGCUCCUCCCGUUUCCACGGCAACCGCUCCCCCCGUUGGGUGCCGGUAAGGGCGGCGUGUAGGGAAAGAGGGGGGCCCGUCUCCAUGGCAACCCCGGUGCCGCCGGGCGGGAGGGGCCGGGCGCGGCGGGGAGGCGGCGGCGGGAGGCCCAGGCCCGGCCCCGGUGCUGGCGCCGGGCCCGGCCCCGUUCGGCCCCGUUCCGGCCCCGUUCCGGCCCCUCCGGGCCGCGAUGUCGGACCCCAGCUGCUGGGGGGCCGCUCCCGCCGGUUACCGGGGGCAGCGGGCGGCCGGGGCCCUGCUGCAGCGCUCCAAGAGGUGCGGGGCCUGCGCCCGGGGGGGGGGGGGGGG
Molecule: long non-coding RNA, 904 nt
Filed under: Anas platyrhynchos platyrhynchos (common mallard)
Lineage: Eukaryota; Metazoa; Chordata; Aves; Anseriformes; Anatidae
Description: lncRNA (ENSAPLG00000021292.1)
Source: RNAcentral